RNAcentral lists this transfer RNA (77 nucleotides) under Pseudomonadales bacterium. RNAcentral's name for it is "tRNA-Pro". It matches the Rfam family "tRNA". From Rfam's summary of the family: Transfer RNA (tRNA) molecules are approximately 80 nucleotides in length. Their secondary structure includes four short double-helical elements and three loops (D, anti-codon, and T loops). Further hydrogen bonds mediate the characteristic L-shaped molecular structure. tRNAs have two regions of fundamental functional importance: the anti-codon, which is responsible for specific mRNA codon recognition, and the 3' end, to which the tRNAs corresponding amino acid is attached (by aminoacyl-tRNA synthetases). tRNAs cope with the degeneracy of the genetic code in two manners: having more than one tRNA (with a specific anti-codon) for a particular amino acid; and 'wobble' base-pairing, i.e. permitting non-standard base-pairing at the 3rd anti-codon position. RNAcentral also lists the same sequence under 1 other name. The record is from RNAcentral. Lineage: Bacteria; Pseudomonadati; Pseudomonadota; Gammaproteobacteria; Pseudomonadales.
CUGGGCGUAGCUCAGUCUGGUAGAGCACGGGCUUUGGGUGCCCGGGGUCGCAGGUUCGAAUCCUGCCGCCCAGACCA